Mauremys reevesii (Reeves's turtle) is the source of this 786-nucleotide long non-coding RNA. RefSeq lists it as uncharacterized. The transcript is spliced from 2 exons. Lineage: Eukaryota; Metazoa; Chordata; Testudines; Geoemydidae. The record is from RefSeq and is a predicted model, not a curated record.
UCUUAUUCUCUUGUCUACUACAUUUAUCAGCAAGUAUUUAAAAAAAAAAAAAGAGAAAAAAACCCCUUGCUAGUAUAACAGAGAAACAUAAAACACAUUCAGAUGGAGAGCUCAUUAGAAAUGUUUUCCCCUCUUUUGUCAGUAGUCGGCUGUGUUGUGCUUAAUCUCUCUGCAAGGAAGUUGAAUCUUAUAAAUACAAGAAAAUGUCAUCUCAUGAAGUGCCUGGAUACUACUGAGAUGGGUGCUACUCACAACCCUAAGUCAGAUAGAGGUGGUGAUUCCGAAGGUGGCUGGUCUUGGGGUCCCAUUGCGAUGAGUUGGUUUUGGCUAACAUCAUGGGCAGCGUGACCGGUCGCAACCACCGCAUAAGCUGCUGCCUGCUUUUAUCUCAUGGGAGGCAGAGGGGGAAGUUACUUUCCUGUUUGCACAGCAUUGUCCUCGCCACCCCCAGCAACAGACGGGGCCAAGGACUAUAAAAUGCAGAUGUGUAGCUUCGUGGCUCUUGCAGCCUGGGUUCAAGCCUAUCUCCUUUAAAGCUGAUGCCACUGAAGUCAGGGAGAGUAUUUCCAUUGGUGUAGGAUCAAGCCACCCGUAAUCCCCACACCCUUUCCCCUCCCCUAUCCACUACCCAAGCACGUAGGCAGGUGCGAACUUUGAGAGUGAAACUACUUGUGAAGGAAUAGGUUGGCCUCUUGCAUGGCUGAGAAGUGACGUUUCUGGAAUAGGCCGUGUUUCAAACAUACACUUCACUCUGAAGCAAUAAAUAGUGCAAGCUUUCAAAUCACA